GUAACCAGUUCGCAGUUCAACAAGUCAAUACUUUAAAAGUUAUUUAAUAAAUUUGGGGAUUUCAGUUCAUAGGGCAAGAAAGGGAGGAUCGAAUAUUCGAUGCUUUCAAUCGGAAGGAAGGCAUCGAUCCAGAGAUUACUUUACAAACUAUCAACAGAGGGUUGCCGGAAAUCUAGUACCCAUGGCUUGUUACGCGGCGAUUGAAAAGGGCGGCGACGUGUUUUUCCCAACUCCGGCACGUUCAGUUCGUCGGUCUUUUCACUUGCUCAUGUUCGUGCUUAUAUUUACUUUGUUGCUAAAUAGCAACUGCGUUUCUUCAUACUCAUCAGGAUACUGGGAUUUUAGCAGCAGCAACUCCACUGUGAUGGAAAGAGGGAAGUUGGGUCCCGGAAAUCCCGGUGUAUGUUCCAGAAAGGCCAAACAUCUUCCAGUUUGUGAAUGUGGAUUCAAAAUGUUGGACUCUUGCUUCUUGAAUAAGAACAAGAUGCUUGAAAUAGAAAAGGGAGCAAAUGACUUUAACAUACCCAUAAUCAGAUCCAACCGAAAAUUAGUUGCCUCUACUGAUGGAGGUCUGCAUAAACCGUCUUGUUUAGUCUUCAAUUCUGCAUGGAAGGCCCGACAAGUAGAACACGAACCAAACAAAAAGCUCAAUUAUCCAUCACCUGCUGGUAUACAAAGACCAAAAAGUGAUGAGGAUAUCGCAUUCAUGAGUAUUCUUGAACUUGGCCAGCUUCUCAAGGAAAAUUUAAUCACAUCAGUGGAGCUGACUGGAAUUUUCUUGAAGAGACUGAAGAGGUAUGGUCCUGUUCUUGAAUCGGUCGUUACAAUUACUGAAGAAUUAGCAUACAAACAAGCAAAAGAGGCUGAUCAACUUCUUGCUGAAGGCAAAUAUUUGGGUCCUCUUCAUGGGAUUCCUUAUGGUCUGAAGGACAUCAUAGCAGUACCUAACUAUACCACAACAUGGGGUUCAACAUCUUUUAAAGACCAAGUUCUUGAUAUUGAAGCUUGGGUUUAUAAAAGGCUGAAAUCUGCCGGGGCAGUUCUUGUUGCAAAGUUAGUAACUGGUUCUUUAGCAUAUGAUGAUAUCUGGUUUGGUGGUAGAACAAGAAACCCGUGGAAUAUCGAGGAAUAUUCUACGGGAUCAUCAGCAGGUCCUGCUUCUUGCACCUCAGCAGGUUUGGUUCCAUUUGCAAUUGGUUCAGAAACUUGCGGCUCUAUUACCUAUCCAGCUUCCCGCUGUGGCGUGACGGCACUGCGGCCCACUUUUGGAGCUGUUGGUCGAACGGGUAUUAUGAGCAUAGCUGAAAGCUUGGAUAAAAUAGGCCCUUUUUGUAGAAACUCUGUGGAUUGUGUGAUUAUUCUGGAUGCCAUUCGGGGAAAGGACCCAGAUGAUGUUUCAUCUAGAGACAUAUCCUUUAGAGAUCCAUUCUCAGUUGAUAUCACAAAGCUCACUGUUGGAUAUCUUGAGGAUGCUGAGAUGGAAGUCGUUCACGUACUCCAAUCAAAAGGAGUGAAUAUGGUCCCGUUUAACCUGAGUUACACUGUUGAUUCCGUCCAAGGUGUCCUCAAUUUCACAAUGGAUGUUGAGAUGCUGGCUCACUUUGACAAAUGGCAGCGCUCAAAUCUGGAUGAUGAAUAUGAAGCCCAAGAUCAAUGGCCUACUGAACUUCGCCGAGCACGUGCCAUAUCUGCAGUUGACUAUUUUCAGGCACAAAGAGCUAGAGGUAUAUUGAUUCAGCAAGUAAGAGAAAAUUUCAGCGUUGAUGCAUUUAUUGGAAAUGCAACUGACUGGGAGAAAGUUUGUGUUGGCAAUCUUGUGGGUAUUCCAGUAGUAAUUGUUCCAACAGGAUUCAAAAAGAUAUCUGAUGCACCAUCAAAUGAUAUUCGCCGAAGAACAACAAUAACUACAGGCAUAUAUGCUCCUCCGGACCGUGAUCAUAUCGCCUUAGCUUUAGCAAUUGCUUAUCAAUCAGUUACCAAUCAUCAUAAGCAGCGGCCACCAAUUGAUGACCUUGGUCCAAAUGAUCCUAUUCCAGAAUCACCAAAAUCCCUGUAGUGGUAUUGAAUGUUGUUCAUGCUCACAAGUGCUUGAUAUGAACCUCCAUGCGCUUGAGCCUGGUGUGAUUCAGACCACCGUUUGUAGCUGCUAAAACUAUGGAAGUAUGAAUCUCAGCUUUCUGUUCGGGCCAUGAGAAAACUAAAAUUCUGUUUACUUCUGUCACUGUUUUAUAGUUCUAAUUCUGUGAAAUUUCUUAUUACUUUUGAUCUGUAAAUGAUUUAACUUUGU
This 2287-nucleotide unclassified non-coding RNA is filed under the name Hevea brasiliensis (rubber tree). The record is from RNAcentral. Lineage: Eukaryota; Viridiplantae; Streptophyta; Magnoliopsida; Malpighiales; Euphorbiaceae.